Molecule: long non-coding RNA, 8648 nt
Filed under: Gallus gallus (chicken)
Lineage: Eukaryota; Metazoa; Chordata; Aves; Galliformes; Phasianidae
Source: RNAcentral
GGUCAGGAGCGCAUUCAAAGAAGCACCGCAGCAGCCGCGGGCUAGUUCGGCACUGCCCCAGAGAACACCCCGCACCUCCUCGGCACGGCACGCUGCGUCCGCGGCAGAGCCGGAGCCGGUUCCUGCGCCCUGCCGCCGAGCUGUCACGGCGAUCGAACAAAAGCACAGGGCUGCGGGCCUCGGGAGGGCUACCGCCACGCACGGAACCCCCCCCCCGCAGCCCGCGCCUCGGGGCGAGGCCUCCCCGCGCCACCCGUGGCUGCAGGCCCCGGGCGAAGGCCAGGCCUCGGGCUGCUCCCCGCCUGCCUCCCCUCCUCACCAGCCGGUCUCGUCCUCCUCGCAGCCGGCCAGGCGCUCCAGCUCGUCGGGCCGGAGAGGCGCCGCGUCGUCCAGGAGGCCGUCGCUCUCACCGCCGCCGGGUUCCUCGGGGGGCUGCCGCCGUGCCGCGGCCCUGGGGCUGAGGCAGCGGCCGUCGGACGGAGAGGGAGAGGCGGCGGCGGCGGGGGGCGAAGGGGAGGCCCCGCCGCUGAGGAGGCGCUUGGGGCUGGCGGGGGCGGCGGGCAGGGCGCCGUGGCGGCUGCGAAGCUGCUCGUUCUGCUUCUCCAGCUUCUUCACCAGUUCCUGCAGCUUCCGCACCUCCGCGUCCGCGUUCACGCUCGAGCCGACGUCCUCCAUGGCGCCUGCCGGCUGCGAGGCUGUCUGAGCGGGGAAGGCCGGCCGCGCCGCCCCGUCUACAUGGCCGGGCGGCCCGCGGCACUGGAGGGCGGCGGCGGGGCGGGGCGGGUCGGGCGCUGCCGCCUUCUCAGCGGCGCCGGCGGGCGGCGUAGGGCCCGCAUCCGGCCGCCAUCUUGCCGCCUCCUCUAGCCCGCCCGAGCCACAACGUCACGCGCGUAACCUGGAAGUGUCCCGCGUAUGAGUCGGGCGGGUGUUGGCGAGCUGUGCGGCGUGCUGCCUUACCGCCCUCUGGUGCCCUGUGGGGGCUCGGGCGUGCAGGCGGGUGGCGUCUGCCGCGCUAAGGGAGGGAAGAAGGGAGCCGGGAGAGCUGUUGCUGGGGUGGUUAUCAAACUGCGGAGGAGCUUUGAUCUGGGAGCAGGGACCUUUACUGAUCGAUGCCGUAUUAAUAGCAGCCCUUGAAGAUUGCUCUGUACAUUGGCUUGUAAAUCCAGCUCCUUCUCUGCACCGUUUGGUACCAAGUGCCUUAAUGAAAUCCAGGAAAGAAGUUGUUUAAACCUGCUUUUAUCCUCCAAAUCUGGAAGAAGAACAACUCAAGGGUACUGCAUGGGUUUCUAAUGAGGCUAGUGUUCAUGGCAUGCCAUGUGGCUAGGAAAUGUGUGACUAAAUGUGUAGUUUAACCCUAAAUUUAUACAACUAAUUCAGAAUGAUGACUCUUCAAAGAUUAUCAUCAGAGUUGAGCAUUGUAAUAAAAGUUCUGUAUCACUGCAGACACCCCAAAUGAUGUCUGCUCACCUCAGGUUCAUCACUGCAGUAUUGGAGUUCCUUCCACAGGUUUAGAGUCUUUUCUCCUUGAAAUUUUAGCGUAUCUGCAUAUAAUACUCAUUAACAAAUGUAAAUUCAGCUUCAUUGUGGAGUUAGCUACCUGUAUUUCAUGCUUAUCCAUCACUUGGAAAUAAUAGCUCUUUAGCAACCCACUGAGCUCAGCGUGCUUAAGGUGCUGCGGUGGGAGCGAGCUGACUCAGAACACUGGGAAAGGACUUGCUGUUGUCAAGAAGAUCCAUGACUUACAUUCAUUUACCGAUGACAGUAAUUUCAGGCACGUGGGUAUCGUUGAGUGAAGACUUACGUGUCUCCACCCGUAUGAAGCAAUCCUCUGUUAGACCAUGCCAAAAAGUUUCUGAGUGUACUGAGAACUCUCCUGACACCCCUCUAUUAGUGAACCAGCUCCGCAAGGAAAAAUAGUUCACUGCACUCAAGGGACUCUGAAAGCAGUCUCACCUGUGCACUUUUUUAGCAAGAAAAAGAACCGUGUCUUCAGAAUCCAUGGUUAGUGACAAGUGAACGAUUUCCAAACGUGACAGGCUUGAAAUGCUGCAUUUCCACACCUGAUGAAGAAGCUGCUAUGUUUUGAAUAUAUUAUUUACAUUUUCAUGACAAUUUGUGACCGAGAGGAGAGAGAGAAUAUAGAUAGAGCCAUGCAAAAACAAAAUUUGCAGUUAAAUCAUGUUCGUGCUUCACUGAUCCAUUUCUGCCUUAUAUUUAACUAGGCUGGACUCCUGGCUGGAGACAGCGUGCUAACACUGAUAAAAAUAAUUAAGGUUUAUGGCCUAGAAAGGCGGGUAGAUGUGACGUGAUCGGUUCUAAAUGCUGCUGGGAACGUUGCACACAGGAAAAUUUCCAUUAAACCUGGAAUACCGCCCCCAUGCUUGAGCUUGGAGGAACAGUGACGACUCUUUAUUUGCCAAAGGGUGUAUGGCUUCGUUAUUAAAACCUGCGCUGGAGUUCAGUACCUCUUCUCCCUCCUGUCGGGCCGUCGUUUCGCCUCUCGGCGCAGUUCGGAAGGCCGCCGCCGCCACCUAGUGACAGCUCUGCGCACUGUGACAGCCCUGCACGCAGUGACAGCCCUGCACACAGUGACGGCCUUGUACGUACUGGCACCGAGACCUGCGGCGAUACACUGCUCUGGUCCCCACGUGCGGUGUGUGAGCACCUGGAGAGGACUUCUCCUUCCUCUGUGUGUUUGGAGGAUGCGCUCAUGGAAAUCUUCCACUCUAACACACGGUGGUAAAACCGUUUCUAAAGCCUAGGAUUGAGCAAAGCGUUUCUGAGACAGGACAAGAGGUAAUGACCAUACACUGCACCAGGGGAGGUUCAGGUUGGAUAUCAGGAAACAUUUCUUCUCAGAAAGAGUGAUGAGACAUUGGAACGGGCUGCCCAGGGAGGUGGUGGAGUCACUAUUCCUGGAGGUGUUCAAAGAACAUAUAGGAGUGGCACUGAGAGACAUAGUUUAAUGGGCAUGGGUGAGUGGCUGGACUAGAUCUGUUUACUGGUCUUUUCCAAAUGUAAUGUGCAAAGAGAGAGCCUAAAAGAAAUUGAAACAACAUUUAAAAAGAAAAAAAAAAUCUUUACAGGCAGAAGCAUGUGGGAGAGGUGGACAUAUAGAAGGUCCAGCUUAGAGGCUGUAAAGGAAAUUUAAUCAAAUAAUAAAAGCUGUCUUGGCCAUAUAAAGAAAAAUUAAGAGAAAUGGAUGUCUUACAUAUUGUAGGUGUUGGCAUUAAAAUGAAUCUAGGCACUGCCCCAAACUAUUUGUCUCAGCUUUGGUAAUGAUACUGGCAUUAUACACAGAAGCAAAAUCAAAACAGUGAAUGUGAGUGGGUGUGGAAACAGAUGUUAUUACAGGCAAGGUAAAAGCAAAGUGCAAAGAGCUCAGCUCUUGAGGAGGCUCAGAAACAGAGAUAAUAAAGCUCAUGAUAAGAGUUUUAAUGCAUUUGCUGAAACAGUUGCAAUGCCAUGUGAUUAAACAUUAGACAUUGAAGUAAGUUUCUUUUUCCCAAGGAAAAAAGGGAUCCAUAAAAAUAUGUUAUUUUGCUGCAUGCAAGGAUUAAAUAUUGCAUGAAAGAAACAGAGAUAUGAAAGGAUGCAAAAUGCGAGAAACAGUUACUAAAGACAGAUUUUGCCAAAUUGGGAUUUUCUUUGAUGAAAUAUGAGAUUUUUUUUUUAAAGAAGGAGUGGUGUGUAGUGACAGGACAAAGAGCAAUGGCCUAAAACUUAAACACAGGAAGUUCCAUACUAACAUGUGGCGGAACUUCUUUAUGGCAAGGGUGAUGGAGCAUUGGAACAGGUUGCCCAGAGAGGUUGUGAGGUCUCUUUCUAUGGAGAUAUUCAAGACCCAUCUGGAUACCUACAUGUGCAAACUAUUGUAGGGUACCUGCUUUAGCAGAGGGAUUGAACUCAAUGAUCUCUUGAGGUCCCUUCCCAUCCCUCUGAUUCUGUGAUUCUAUGAACUGCAGCAAAGCAAAUCCAUAUGGAUCUCAGGAAAGUGUUCGACAUGGUGUGUCAGCGUGGUGAUACUGGAAAAACAGAGGGAAGAAACCAGCUAAAGAGUUGUACUUACAGGAGAAGGCUCAGGCUAUAGAAAGAAGAGUUUUGUGGCUGUGGAGUGCAUAGGGAUUGACUGCAUUUAUCUUUAUGGUAAGUAUUUUGUCCAAUAAAGUAACAAAUAAAUAAAAAUAGAAGUGAUUAAUGAAAUAUGCUGGUGACACAAAGACGAUGACUUUAAAGCAUAGGAGGACUGAACUGCCAUAAAGUGGAGGUGCAAGGAACAGAAGUCUAAAAUAACAAAGGCAAGGAACUUAGUGACCAGCAAGGUUUUAUUCAGGAAGUACAGGUGCAUCAGCUGCUGACAAAAGGUGAAGAGCUGGCUGUUUUAGUCAAUUGUCCAUUGCAGGAUAUCUAAAGACCACUACUUAUGAAAAGCGAAAACACACCUAUGUAUCUAUAAGACAAGAUCAAUGAUCUGAGAAGGAUUUUAGUACUGAGUUGCCUUUCCAGCUUCGCCCAAGUAUUUGCAGUACAAACCACACAUGAACAAGCAAUACAUUGACACAUAUGCUUAAAUUCAAGCAGAAGAUUUGUCUCAUCAAGUCUUCAGGUUUGGCAGACAGCUUGAACCAAGAGUAGAGUACAUAAUGGAACCUCUCAUUUAAAUGCAAGCAAAGCAACCCAUGCAAUGUAAAUAGAAAGAAAGAUUUUGCUGCAUUCUGUAAACCAAAUUUAACACACUGUAAUGUAAACAUAUCUAUCAGAGCAUAAAAUGAGCAAUGUCAAUAUAAUAACCAACAAGUGCCAUCAAUUUACACCCUUUUUAAGUCAGCUGGAAUGAAAACCUUGCAGUGUCGGGUCCCACCAUGUCCUUUUGUAACUCAGGUAAGCUGCAGCCGUGGCAUGCCAGGGUCACUGUUGGCCAAGCAACAGGGCUGUUUUUUGUUGAAGCAUGUGGUCAUAAUGAGUGUGUCUGUACAUAUAGCAUGUUUCAAAUGUCCACUGACACCUUUUUAUAUAUUUUUUUGCGUAUUAUAUAUUGAAAUUCAACCAAAAUGUUAAAAUGAGGUGUCACAGAAUGAUAAGUAGAAUAGCAAUAAAGCUCUUCUAUCUUGUUGACAGGAAAAAUAUCAAAUUUUAAUCCCUUCAAAUGAUCUUAUUUCUCUGCCAAAUUUGAAAUCAAGAAUAAAUAUCUGAACAUGGAGUUAUCAAGGAAAGUCCUCUCUCGUGACUGUACCAAGCUCAAAACAACACAUCCCUUUCAUCAGAAGUGACCUUCUGUAUGAAUCCUCCUCUGCUUACAGAGCAAAUCCUCCAUAAAUCCCCAGCCUCUUGCAGCACUGUACUUUGUACAUGCACAGUGUAACUACUUUUAUCAUCUGCAGCUUGAAACAAUCUUCGGAGUAUGCCACUGAGCUGCAGCCUUUUCAAUGCCUCUGUUGCUUGGUGGGGAGCCUGGGUCAUAUCAUAGAAUCAUAGGAUGGUCUGGGUUGAAAAAGACCUCAAAGAUCAUCAAGUUUCAACCCCCCUGCUAUGUGCAGGGUCACCAACCACUACACCAGGCCACCCAGAGGCACAUCCAGCCUGGCCUUGAAUGCCUCCAGGGAUGAGGCAUCCACAACCUCCUUGGGCAACCUGUUCUAGUGUGUCACCACCCUCAUUCUCAUCAUGAGGGAUUUGUGAAGGCUGCAAAAUUAAAGUAAUAGGCGGGACAUGUUCAGUGUAAAUGUGGGCUGUGAGUGCAGUUGGUGGUACUUCAGAGCUAUGUGUGAACCUCAGUUAGGAAGGAAAAGCUGUCUUGAGCAGAGGCAGCAGGGGUAAUACUGCCUUCCUUCCAUCACCACCAAGCCCCUGCAUUAGGACAGAGAAAGGUGCUGGGGUCUGAUGCCAUAAGACACAUUUUGCCCUUUUGUUAUUAGCAGAUCUGAGCCUGUUCCAGUGCUGUGUGAUUCUUUCAAUACAGAAAGCACUACAUAAGAGUUGAGCUAUAUUCAGACCUCAAAAAAUGUGCCAAAAUGACUGAAGGCAACGUUUUGUGGAAAGUUCAGAGAAGAGAGAAAAUCAAAGGACCCUUAUUUUUAACCAAGAGUCCAGCAGUUUGUGUCGGCUUCCCACCUCAGACAAUGCAGCAGCCUGGUGAGAGCGAGGUAUUUUCUAUGGGCUCAGUUCCUACUAUUGUUUACAAGCCAAAUGUGAGGUUAGAUAGUAAUGGGUCAGCCCUUCGUAGUCAUGGCACAGGCAUCUCUUAGCAGUGACAUGCCUGUGUGUUAGGACAAAGAAACACAUGAGGGCAAGAGACCUACAGUCUUCUUCCUUUCACAUAAGCAUUUUGGCAAGAAAUGUUUGAGAAAAAUCAUAGAUUUUGCUGCUGAUUCUUUUUAAAUUAUUCUUUAACAACAACAACAACAACAAAAAUUACUAUUUUAAAGUAAUGCUUUUAACACUCAUCACAUUUGAUUUUCCUGAGUUAAGUGUCUAAGUAGAAGUAACUAAAUAGUUCUCAGACAACUCUGGAUUUAUGGCAGAAUCCAAUGAAGUUCAGGGGGUGCUAACUUGGGGGAAAAUAGGAUCAGUGUCAGUUGUUCAGAUUAUCCUAUUUCUGCAGUAUGAAGCAAUGACCCAAGCAAUACACAAUAGAUGUGUAACAAAUGAUGUGUGUGUGUGCAUAUGUACGCAUGUGUAUGCAUGUGCAUCUUUGUCUGUACGUGCCCAUACAUUCAUGCACACGUCUUUUCAGCAGGGUAGCAGCAGACUGCACCAGAUCUAAAGUGAUGUUAGAAAGCUGGACAUCAAAUGCAGAACAAGGUCAGAUUGAGAUGUGAAUUGAAGAAGGCUACAAAACAGUGUGAAUUACAGACAGAGUGGAAAGCCAGUUAUGCCCUUUUUAAAUCACCUGAGGCUCCUUUGUCAUUCCCAUACCUCAAAUUUAAGAGCUUUUUGGAACAAAGAAGCAACAUCUGUAAAAUUGUUUCCAGCAACAGCACAGCUGCGAACACAGUGUUACAGAGGAUACAGCCUUUAUCCCCACUUAGGGUUGCUCAUAGCAGUAGAAUUCAGGCGGAUGAAUUGGACAAAAAGGUUUUGUUCCCUGUCCCUACUGUGUAGCCAUGUGUCACUGUUAAGUGUUACUUGAAAAGUGAUCAUCAGUUACUAAAACAUUUUAACACGGAGUUAGCAAUUGUUUACUAGCAGAGCAAAUGCCAUUUGCCAUUCUCUUUUAAAAAUAAGUAACGUUAAUUGCUCUCAUUGAAGACUAGAAAGUAGGUUUUUAGGAUGGCUGGAGGAUGCCACGAAGUUCACAGAAUCGUAAACCAAAGUAAGAAACUGUAACAGUGGGUUAAUUCUGAUCUGACAUUACUGAGGUGCCACACGCUGUCCUGGCAAAGGCAUAGUGAAAACUGCUGUCCUACAGCUGAUGGAACUCUUUGAAGUGGAUUUACACAGGUUUGGUACUGUAUCAGAAAUCACAAGGGCACUAAGCAUCCAUAAACAAAGCUGUAGCCUGUACUGUGUGUAAGCUCUCUGGGAACACAUCUGAAUAACGUGGCCACCAGCAGAACAUGAGUUUCUCUGGGGAUUAGCGUUUUGGAUGCCAGCCUUCUAAUCACAGGGAUUCAGUUACUCCUUCCAAUCAGAUCAAUGUAACAUGGCUGUGUAACGCAAUGAUAGCACCUCUUCUAAAUGGAGAAAUGUUGAGUCCUGAGGAAGACAAGCUAUGUUCAUUUCAGCAUUUUUGCUUUGUGUCCUAUCCCUAUGUGGAGUCUCACGUGGAACUUUACACACCCUAAAAUUACACGCUGACCACCUUCUUUUCAGUAUAUUCUAGCUAAACAGACCACAUCCUGAUACACAAUCUCCUUUCAGUGUUUUUGCUACGAAUGUGGUGCAAGUCCACUGAAGUCAGCCUUGAAAUCCCAGUUUUGUCAAGCUCAGAAUCUGCUCGGUGGAGACCCAGUGCUGUUGGUUGAACUCGUGCUCUGCCACCUGCAGCUGAAGCCUAAACGUACUUUGAAUCCUAGCAGGGAGGUGUCCGAAGGCAGCUUCCCCAGCUUCCUUCGCAGCCACAGAUGUGCCUUUAACCCACGCAGCUCUGUCGCUCAGGCUGUCCCGCAGUAUCACUUACCGGCGUCACCGCAGAGGGGGAGCAGCACACCGCAGGCUGGCCCAGGACACAUGCAGAGACGUGCUGCUGCGGGGUGGUGGUUCGCGUUUUAGGAUCCUUCGGGCUUCUUCACAGCAGUGUUAGAGAGAGGAUCCCACUCAAUGCAGGGUGGCCCUGGGGUUUGCCUGCUACGGUCACUGACAAGCAGUUCCUCGAGCAACAAGGGCCCAGCAAUCAUGAACUGAAAACCACCAGAGUGAGGCCACCAACACCCCCAUCCACAUCUUUGCCUUUUUAGGUAGUUGUUCUCUGCUUCAGUACCAGUAAGAAACUUAAACUGCUCGCCAGUGCUGCUGUGCUGAGCUGACAAGUGGGAUGAAUGGUGCUAAUAGAAGGUACUCUUUACACUCUCUAUUUUAUAUACAUACACUUGCUGUUAUUUGUUAUGUCAUGUCACCCCUCAAAUAAGGCUACACUACUCUCUGGGGUCUGUUUUUACUGUUUGGCUGCUUGGGCUAUGGCAAGUGGCACAGCAAUGUUACAGUACUUC